UUCCGGUUGAUCCCGCCGGACCUGACUGCUAUCGGAUUGAUACUAAGCCAUGCGAGUCUUUGCAGUAAUGCAAGGCAUACGGCUCAGUAACACGUAGUCAACUUACCCUAUGGACGAGGAUAAUCUCGGGAAACUGAGCAUAAUACUCGAUAGAUCAUAAUGCCUGGAAUGGUUUAUGGUUGAAAUGAUUCGUCGCCAUAGGAUGGGACUGCGGCCUAUCAGCUUGUUGGUGAGGUAAUGGCCCACCAAGGCGAUUACAGGUACGGGCUCUGAGAGGAGAAGCCCGGAGAUGGGUACUGAGACAAGGACCCAGGCCCUAUGGGGCGCAGCAGGCGAGAAAACUUUGCAAUGUGCGAAAGCACGACAAGGUUAAUCCGAGUGAUUUCUGCUAAAGAAAUCUUUUGCAAGUCAUAAAACCACUAGUGAAUAAGGGGUGGGCAAGUUCUGGUGUCAGCCGCCGCGGUAAAACCAGCACCUCAAGUGGUCAGGAGGAUUAUUGGGCCUAAAGCAUCCGUAGCCGGCUCUGUAAGUUUUCGGUUAAAUCCAUGUGCUCAACGCAUGGGCUGCCGAAAAUACUGCAUAGCUAGGGAGUGGGAGAGGUAGACGGUACUCGGUAGGAAGGGGUAAAAUCCUUUGAUCUAUCGAUGACCACCUGUGGCGAAGGCGGUCUACCAGAACACGUUCGACGGUGAGGGAUGAAAGCUGGGGGAGCAAACCGGAUUAGAUACCCGGGUAGUCCCAGCUGUAAACGAUGCAGACUCGAUGAUGCAUUGGCAUAUAGCCAGUGCAGUGUCGCAGGGAAGCCGUUAAGUCUGCCGCCUGGGAAGUACGUACGCAAGUAUGAAACUUAAAGGAAUUGGCGGGGGAGCACCACAAGGGGUGAAGCCUGCGGUUCAAUUGGAUUCAACGCCGGG
Molecule: ribosomal RNA, 914 nt
Filed under: uncultured marine archaeon
Lineage: Archaea
Also listed under: 1 other name
Description: bacterial SSU rRNA
Rfam family: Archaeal small subunit ribosomal RNA
Source: RNAcentral